CCUACGGGUGGCAGCAGUCGAGAAUCAUUCACAAUGGGGGAAACCCUGAUGGUGCGACGCCGCGUGGGGGAAUGAAGGUCUUCGGAUUGUAAACCCCUGUCAUGUGGGAGCAAAUUAAAAAGAUAGUACCACAAGAGGAAGAGACGGCUAACUCAGUGCCAGCAGCCACGGUAAUACAGAGGUCUCAAGCGUUGUUCGGAAUCACUGGGCGUAAAGCGUGCGGGGGCUGUUUCGUAAGUCGUGUGUGAAAGGCGCGGGCUCAACCCGCGGACGGCCCAUGAUACUGCGAGACUAGAGUAAGGGAGGGGGAACCGGAAUGCUUGGUGUAGCAGUGAAAUGCGUAGAUAUCGAGAGGAACACUCGUGGCGAAGGCGGGUUCCCGGACAUUAACUGACGCUGAGGCACGAAGGCCAGGGGAGCGAAAGGGAUUAGAUACCCUUGUAGUC
RNAcentral lists this ribosomal RNA (446 nucleotides) under uncultured bacterium. RNAcentral describes it as "partial 16S ribosomal RNA". It matches the Rfam family "Bacterial small subunit ribosomal RNA", at positions 338 to 795 of the family's 1533-position model. The record is from RNAcentral.